AGUCCCGCUUCCCUGGGAUGUGGGGACUUCAGUAUGGGAGGGGACCAGUCUGCGGCUGCUUGAGGCCUCACCAGAGCAGGGCUGGUUUCUGGUGAGUCAUUUUGAGAACUCAUCUCGGUACAAACACGGCCCUGCACCCCAGGGAUGGUUCUUGGGGCCUCGCUGCUGCCUGCUGCUGAAAUGUGUAAAUCCCUGCCCAUGAAAUGAACAAACGCUGCCCUGUAGCCCUGUGCAUCCAGCAUGCGGGAGCUGCUCUGUCAGUGCGAUGGCUGCAGGCUCUGCCUGUGUCCUCGUGGGUCUGAGGAUCAAGGUGGUUGUUUUGGGGUGAAAGCAGCACGUUUUCCCUCUUUUCUUCACUGCUGCUUUUUCUCCUGCCCACGUGCCGCAGGAGCUCCCUGAGCCCCUCCCCAUGGCCCUGUGCAGGGCUCCAUCGCCUUCAUCACACCGAGGCGACUGCCGGUAAUCAGGAAGGAAGUGGUUUGUGGAAGGGUGACAGCAAUGAGCUGGUUCAGAAGUGUGGCUAUGGCUUGAGGUUUCUGCUAUGGAAAGCUGACUGAUUUCCACCGGAAGUGAGGCCACAAGAAAAAAAGAAGUCCAAGAGAUGGCUCUGCUGCUGACCUUCUGACAUAGGUGCUGGGAAGGGGCCGAGGGCUCGGUGACAUGGGUGUACCCACUGCUUGCCUCCUGUUCCAUUGGGACGCACUUCUAUCUCCUACUUUCAGGGUUCCUUUGGCUCUUCCCCAUUGGGGCCAUAGGUUUCUGUAAAGGCUUUGUCUGUGUAGCCCGCAAAUAUCAUCAUCUAUCACACCAAAUCUCCUUCUUAGUUUUUUUGUGGGCACAAACACCCGCAAACGAUACGGCUUUGCUAUGGGGGAAAUGCUCAGAAAGAGAAUCCAAGUUCUCUUCCUUUGUGCAAAGAGAGGGGAAUGUAUAAAGGAGCGAUGAAAGGCCCCAGUGAUGCCUCUGUAGGGCUGGAAAGGCAGACCCCAGCAGCAGAUGAGGCCCUGUGAAUUCCUUCCCUCAGUGCAAUUGAGUCUCAUGGGUGGCAGGAUGCAAUUUGUGUUUGAGUUUGGCUUUCUAGUGAAACUCUUGGCUUGUCACUCUCAAGGCACAACAAGCUCCUUAAAUAGCAGGCUAAAUUUCUCCACCUAGCCUAAAAAAAUAAAACAGUACUCUGCCAAAUGAAAGGACAUAUUCCAGUAUUCUUUGUUGUUGCAACAAAUUGGGUGGAUACUGUCAGACUUCUGCGUUCUGGGAAUACUUCCAGAGCCUCUCUUUGUGUGCAAGUCGGUUACCAUGUAAUUGUCAACUUAAAUUGCAGUGUUGGAUAACUCCGCUUCGGCUGUAGCUAAUCUGCCUCGCUGGUGCCUUCGCCCACAGCGUGUGGGCACAGAGCUGCCCUGCUCCUCCUGCGUGGGGCUGCGGGCACCCAUGGGUGGGGGUCAGUGUCGUGUCAUGUUGGGUCGCUGUUGCAGUGGGGCAGUGUUGCAUGGGAGCGAUACCACGUUGGGGUGAUGUUGCAUUGGAGUCCUUGUGCUUUGGGUGAUGGCCUCUUGGCUAAAGCCCUGCCCGGCACUGAGAGGUUCAGAUCCUGCUGGUGUGGUUGGGGCUGUCCCAUGUGUGGCCCCACGCCCCACGUGCUGCUGUCUGCGGUGGAGGAGAGAUAAAAGGUCGCUUUCGAUGCGGUGGGAAUCGCGUUCACCCUCUUCCUUCCCCUUUCAAAUUGGCAGCUCGUUUUGUUGUGUUUGUUUUAGCCUGAAUCCCAAUGACAAUUAGUGCUAGAAGGCUAGAUUAAGCUGUUUUUACUUGUUUUCUUUCUCACUUUGAUUUCCACCUUCUCCAAAUUCUUAAUCCUACUGAAUAUUUCAUCUCUUGUAACUCUGUCAAUUGAAAGUCCCCCAGCGGGACGCACGGGACCAGCACUAUUAGAGCUGCUUUGCUGCAGCUAAUGCUGCUCAGCGCUGGGCUGAGUUUGUUGCACAAUUUAUUUCAGACGAGCAAACCACAGCAUCCGCUGCAGCAUGAACUGCACGAGCAGCCUGGGAACGGGGCUGUGCAGCAAACGGGAACUUUGAUGGCUGAUGAGAAAGCAGAGCACCCCUUGUUCCCAGCCCGCUCCUCCUCCCAUUGCACGCAGUGGUUUCAGGUGGGAUCCUCCCUCAGCACUGUGGUCCCACCGCAGCCAUAGGGAAUGUGCUGCUGGAGUUGGCUGCUGCUGGGGGUCCCUCCUGCUGGGUUGGUGUGGGGUGCAGAGCUGAGGAUGUUGCCCCACUGUUCACUGUUCCCCAGCAGUAAUCACACUUGUGGCUUCCCCCCCCCCACCCAUAACAGUGCUUCCUGGGAUGCUCUCAGGGCUGGCUUUUCAUUUUUCAGUAGGGAACUUCGCUCAUGUCAAAAAGGCAUUUCCCAGCUUGAACUGCUCUGGGCCAGCUCUGCUCACAGCUGCCCAUCCUAAUGGACAUGUUCUCACUUCUGCUGCCUGGAGAAGAGCUGUGUGUGGGGUCCAUGGGGUGCACUGCCUUUUACCCCAUAGAGCACUCAACAAUACCCUUAGCAGUGCACAGGGACGUUCCCCCAGGAGGAAUCAAGCUGCUCACGCAUCCCACCACCUCUGACACGAAUCAGGGCUGCAGCAGCUCUGCCAGCAGCUCACCAACACUCACAAAGCUUCAGCGCUCCUCACCUGCUCUGUCUGCUCCUUAUCGAGAGCCCCAAAGUGACUGCAGCCCGAAUGGAAGUGCCAGCAACCGGCUCCAAGUGCUGCUGCCAAGGGAGCGGCAGUGGCAUAUGUUUGCUCUCAGAGCAAGGUUACAGUCUCGACUCAUUAGAAGCUCCUCUCCUCCUUUUGGGGCAUAUGUGGAAGUGCUGGGUGCCAAGCUGGCAGAGCGUGGCGGAGCAGGGAGGGCUCUGUGAGGUGCUGGUGUUUGCACUUCUGUCCAUGGUUGAUCUGCACUGUGAGCAGCACAGUGCUUGGUGCUGGUGCAAUGCUCCAUAGGCAGCUCCCAGUGCUCCUUCACUGCAUAGGUGUGACUCCGUGUCCAGGUUGGCUCACAGGUCAUUGCCACAGCAAUCGGAGCUGUGUGGGCACAGCACAGAGCUGGGUCGUUCUGCACAUCCCUCAGCAAUGGCACGAUGGCUUUGCAGGAUCUGCAACCCAUAGUAAUGGCUCAUUGCUGAACCAUAAGUGGUCGUACCGUCCUUGGGAUUUAUUGCAGGCUGAGGGAUUAAUUUCCUGAAAUAUACAGUCAUGAUGUUGAGGUUAAAUUAAGAUCUCAUUCAAAGGGGUUCUUUUUAUCAUAUUUAAUUUGUAACCCUUUUUUCCGCAGCCAUUUUACAGCUCUUCCUCCCCCUCCCUUCUAUGUUCGGUGUCAUGUUUCCAGGAAGAAUCUUAUUUCAUGCAGACUAAUAGCAUUUUUUAGUACAACCUUUUACGGUUCUCCCUGUUCGAGUUUCUCCUGUCUCGGUUGCUCGUACACAACAAGGUCUUAAAUCCUCCCUUAGAAAAUAGAGACGUUGAUGCAAAAGCAACCAGAACUGCUGGCAGAGCCCAAAUCCAUCCCUUCUCUUUCCCCACACCCCCCUCCAGUUUACUGUAACUGAAAGCCCUUUUACUUCAGAGCAGAGCACGUUGAUAGGGCGCAUGUCGGGUAAAUCCAACAGGACAUUAUUACGCUGGGUGAUGUCUAUAGAGUGGGUCUGGUUCUGUACUGGCCUCACUUUGCCCUCUGUUGUGUUGUGAGAUGGACAGAUGGAUGGACUCAAGGCUGGAGGAUAAGCAGCCUGAAAUCUUGCCUGCUUUGCAGAGGCUCCUUGGUGUGUGGGGCAGGCACACCUGCAUGCAAGGAGCAGCUCAGCCCGCAGCCCUGCCUCGUGCCACCAUCUGCUGGACAUCUUGAGGCUGAUUGCGGAGGUCAGGACUCAACUGGAAAGACCGCAACGGGUUGCUGACUGGCAUCCACGGCCCAGAUAAGAUAAAAACAACUGAUGACAGCGGGGAAGUGAAACAGUCAUCUCAGCACUUGGAUUAAUGCCUGGCGAGAAGGAAGGGAAAAAAACGAGGAGGGCCGUCAGGGAGGGGUAGGGGGUGGAAUACGGAUGAGAAUAGAAACUCUGGAAAAAAAGCUAUCAGGAGGCAGCAGAGCUGGGUGUUAAAUAUUUAUGAAUUAGCAGCCGUCGUGCCCUGCCUGCGCCGUGUGGGUGCUGCCAGGGGCUGGGGGGGAGGUGACUGCGUGGCCGUGGCCGGGUGGCAGCAGCACCACGCAGAACAAAUGCAGGUGAAGAGGAGAAGGGUAAAUGAGGCGCUACAGGAGCCGCUAUGCCAAAAAUUCUGCUGAAGAGCAUCGGGGUAAUUAAAUCAUAAUUGCUUCUUGCUCAGCUGGAGUGACAUUGCGAGUGGCUGAAGGUGGUGAGGAGAGGAAGGGGAAGUUUCGCUGCUGUUCUGCUUGCAAUGGGGCAGCCCCAGACCUGCUGGGCCCCCAACCCUCUGCCCCCACCCUCUGCUCGGGGCUGGGUGCUGCCUCCCGCUGCACUCCACUCUGUGCUGUCCUGGCACAGCCCACGUAUGUGCCAUCCCUGGGUGUGAGGAGCUGAUGUGCCGAACCUGAGAGCUUUGGAGGAGCCAUUCCUAACCGUGAGACAAUUAGCCUGCAAAUCCCGCAAGCAGUUAAUUACACUGCGGAGUUGUGUAAUGUUUAGGGGGCUGAUGUGACCUGGCAGCAUGAAGGACACUUGGAGCUCAAGUUUAAAAACCCGAACCUUCCCAGUAUGUGGCUCCAGGGCAGGUUUUCUCUCCCCCACCAUAACAGCCGUGUUGGGAUGAGAGACUCUUUUCAGCUUUGUGGUUCUGAGUUCUGCUGGAGUUUCCUCUUUUCUUUUUGUUUCAAAGUCACAGAAACACGUGGUGCGUUCCACAGUGCGUUGGAAUGAGGUCUUCCUCCUGCACAUGGGUGCAGCUGAGCAGCAGUUCAGUGGUGAUGCUGGGAUGCAGGACAUCCUCAGGCUGUGGGCACUGCUGGGAAUGCAGCUCUGCGGCCCCUUACCAACCACCCCAUCCAUUCUGCUGGGAGCACAAGACAAAACCCAACAUGGUGUUCCCAGUUUCAUGGAAAAGAGCAUCCCUACCGUGGUGAGAUGGAGAAUAGCCAUGCAGGAACCAGUUGUGGGGAGAUCUGACCUUUGGCGCUGUGAGGGAAGGCUGAGCAGGUUAUGCUUCCACCUGCUGUAAUUGUUUCUUCAGUAGCUGUAAGGUGAGUCACGGGGCUGUGGAUGAGCAGUGGGCUGAGGAGCUGCCUGCUGCUGUAGGGCUGGGGAUGCUGCUGCAGACUGCCCAACCUGGGUGCAUCCCCCAAGGAGCUUUGGGAGCGAUCCUUGCUGGAGAACUCAGGAUUUGUGCUCUUACACAAAUGUAUAUGUACAUACUGUUCUCUAACAGGAAUCACCUGUUGCUCCUCCCUUUUCCUGUCACCGUGCAGAUGGUCAUCCCUGCCUGGGAUCCCGGUGGGCACCAUUGGGAGCACUGUGCCCACGGCCGAGCCUGGCACCUGCUGGAAGGCGAUGGGAGGAGGAAAAGGGCUCUGGCGACGCAGACAAUAAAAGUCUUUGCAUUCCACUGAAGUUUCUUGAGCAACUGGCAUUUGCCCAUAAAUGUACUUAAGCAGAAAAUCACCAGAAAAGUGCUAUAAUCUGACAGAUUUUUCACAGGCUUAAAUAUUCAUGAAUUAAAAGAAUUGGCAGAAUUUUCUACAUUAUUAGCUUUCAGCAUGGCUACGGGAGCAGUUGGUGCACUGGCUGCUCUUCAAAAACUAUUAAUCUAGUCUGUCAUCACAGCAGCCAUUUUUUAAUUAGCUACUUUGCUGAACGAUCUGGUGCAGCAGCGAGACUGGAACAUUUACGUGGUAUUAAAGUUUUAAAGGUGCCCCUUUCCAUUUUUAAGCAAAGUUCUGCAACGCAGCAAUAGGGGAAGCGAGGCGGAGGCGGAUUGCUCCGCUCCAAUGGUUAACUGCUGCUUGUAUUUUGGAAAAUCACGGCUUGGAAUACAGAGCUGCUUCUACGAGGAGAAGAAAUUGCGUGAAAUAAAUUGGUUCUCUAAACUGAAGUUCACAGCAUUCCUUCCCCAUGAAAUCAAAAGGAGAUGUUUGGAGCCAAAGCCUUGCGUGCGGAUCUCAUGGAAAAUGAGGGGGCAUGGCACUGCCUGCGGCAGGCAGGAUUUAUUGCUGCCAGUCCCACGGGGAGAUGGCAACGGGUGGGGGAUCUGUGUGACUGUUGAGCUGAGCUCCAUCCUGCUGCUGAGCUCCAGAGGGCUGGGGUGGGCCCUUCCCAGAUUGAGAGGCUGGGGUGAGCUGGCUGUCAUGGGAGCACGGGGCUGUUUGGGGCUGUGCCUCCAGCACUGGUACCCCAUCUUGGCACCGAUACCUCAACCCCGGCAGUGGUACCAAAUCCUCUGCACUGGUACUCAUCCCCAGCUCUUGAGGACUUGCUGGGAGCAGAGCUUGGUCUGUGUUGGCCUCGUGGGGUUUCAUCAGCCCCAAACACAUCACAGGGCUCAGCCCUGAGCUGCUCCUGGCUCCGCAGGGGGAAUUGCUCCCAAACAGCUGGAAUCAACUCCCAGAGCUGGUGUUCAGUGAGCCGUGUGAUCUGGCUUGGAGGGUGGACAGCCCAGUUCCUUCUGUCCCCGCUGUCCUCAGUACUGGCUGAUGGUAGCGAUGCAGGAGCACGUGGGAGGAUGCUCUCAGUCCCCAUCCCAGGUGCUGCAGGGAUCCCACAGUGCAGUCCACAAGGGAACAUGUGGUGAGCUCAGACCCAAGCAUGGUGGCUUGCAGGCACAGAUCUGAGCUUUCCUGAGCCCAGUCCCUCCUGAGUCCUGCUUUGCACUCCAUGCCAGAGCUGCUUCUCUCCUGACUUGUUAUUUGCAUGUGAAAACACAGCAGAAUUAUAUCUUUAUUAUGGUUCUAAGUGUGCUGCUUUUUGGCAUUGGUGGGCACCUCUCUAAUCUCUGCUGCUGGGUCCUACUGAGAUUUCCUUUGGGCACUGUGAUGCCUCUUUCUUGCUGUCUGCAGCCUGAAAAAGGUGUGCUGGAUAUCUAACCUGUCCCUUUCUUUCCCAUUGGCAUUGAAAACAAGUGGUGUAAAGAAACUGAUGGUUCCAAUGCCACUGCAGCACCAUAUAGCAUCCAUGCUGCUGCUCUUCGCGUGCCCUUCUGCCCUCGGAAGCUGUUUCAUAGGAGGUUUCCCUCUUCCUUGCCUUGAUAUUACGGAAGGGAAUGUGCACUGUUUGGCUGCUGUGGAUUUCAUAUCCUGCACAGGGAUCCCAAUGCCUAGGAGAAGUGGAGGGGGAAACCCCACUCUAUAGCUCCCAGGUAGGAAAAAUGGGGAAACAUUCCCAGGAAAACUCUUUUUAGUGCGAUAAUUUUCAUGUGGUUUUCUGGGUUUGGAUUCCUUGGUGGUUUUGUCUCCUAUUGGCCAUUCCACUCCUCCAUUCAGUUCCUUCUACCUUGGGGCUGGGAAGCCCGAAUCUCACCAACCAUCCCUUGUAGGGGUGGCAAUGGGAACAGGGGCAGCCACCGCUGCUGUGCUCCAUGGCUAUGAGUUCUUUUUUAAUCCUUCAUCAUUAUUAAUACGCAGUCACUUAAAUGAGGCACACACCCUUCUUGGCAAUUAUUUGUAAUCGUCCCUUGUGAGUUCUCGAACAAAACACUCUUUAUUAAUACUUAAAGCUUCUAAAAGCAUCGCAGAUCAGAUGGAGAUACUCCAUCCAGCAGGCUGCACCAAGCACUGCAGCCCGUUAAUUAAAUUUGCCAGAUAGGAUUAUUUAUUAGAAAAAUGUGCUCAAGAUGCUCUUUGAAAUGUGGGGCCGUCCCGUGCUUUCUGUGGUGUCAUGCACAGCCCUGCUAUUUACACUGUGGGAAAAGUGAGCUCUCGCAUUUGGAUUCAAAUGAACAUCUGAUUGAAAUGAGUGCAUUCGUGGAGGACGGCCAUGCUGAGAUCCUGCUGCACGUGGUUCUGCGUGGUUGGAAGGAGCAGGGGAGGAGGAGAGUGCUGCAAAGGGAACAGAUGGGGUGAUGGGUGGGAUGGGGCUGGGAUGGCUCUGCCCUGCCCCAUGGAUAGCACUGCUGCUGGGGCUGCUCAGUGCGGAGCCCCUUGGUGUGAGCUCCAGGAGACCCAAAGGAACUUGCUGCCUAUUAAAAAAGAAGUCAGCCUUAUCUCUCCAUGUUUGAACAAUGGGCCAUAUGUGUUUCUUCUCAUUAAAGCUGUUUUUUCUAAAGGAACUCCACUGCAGAAACAAGCUUGGAAGCCGACGUAAUUAAAGGCUUCUUUUUCCCCAGCCGUGGUCCUCUGGUCUUUGAAGAGUGCGGGGAUCCCUGUGGAAUGCUCUGAACUCUGCAAUAUUUUGAUAGCUGCAAUAACAUAAUCAAAAGAUGCUUUCAUGACGAGAGCACCUUGUGCGCAUUGCAGCCGCCCCGCUCCCCCCGCACACAGGCAGCUUCACGGAUCCCAGAGCUGCAUGCAGAUAUGAGCUGGAUUCCUGUGUGUCUCCUCCAGGGAUGGAGCUCUGCAGCCAUCGCAAUGAGCUGUGGGAGAGGAGCAGUGUUCUCCUGCACGGCUGCUCCACAGCCACACGGCUGUGUGAUCCCCAUCCACAAACCCUGCACAGGAGCAGGGUGGGGGUACAGCCCCAGGGCAGGGGCAGGGACCUGGUGCUGAAUGGCCCCAAGCUUUACUUUUCUUCCCUUCAAAUAGCUGCUCUCCUCCACUGGACGUGCCACCAGGUUGCUGCUCAUUCUGAAGCCCUCAUUAAAACACUCUAAUUCCACACUUUUGUUAGAUUACUGGCUCAUCUGCUCGCAGGAAUCCUUCUCUGUGCAUCAGCCAUUGAAUUCCUCACUCUGUUCCUGCCAUCCCUUGGAGCCACAGCACCAUGCGUGUCCACUCAACCCGAGCCUUGGAAGUGGGGCCUUUAUGGAAUGAGGAAAUUGGGGCAUUCCUGCAGUCAUCAAGCUGGAAUCAUUAAGCUUUCUUCGGGCCAAAUUAGGAUUUGGAGUCCCGCUGUCCUUCUUGCUCCCUAAUUGUGUGCACUCAGCCCUGGCUGUCCUGGGGCUCUGAUGUUGGAUACUGUCCAGGGUCCCAUUUUAUCCCUGCAGACCCCAAGCCCACUGCUACCCUCCCCUCUGCCCCAUCUCUCCAGUUGUCCUUCAUAGAGGUGCACAGACAGCAUCCUGCAUGCUCCAUCCCUUCCUGCCCCCCAGGAAAGCAGCAGUAAUUCACCUGAAUGAACUCAGCCCCAGCACCCUCCUGCCCUAGAGACCCCCAAAAGCUGCAGUGCCACCCUUUCUCACCUCCUCGCACUUUGCAUGCUUUGCAGAGGGCUGGAUGGGGGCAGGACCUGCUGAGACUGAUGGGACACACAGUGGGCAUCCCCCUCUGCUGUGCUGCACUGGGCUGAUGGCACCGUGCAUGCUCCCAGCAAUCCAUGGUGCAAGAAAAGAGCAGAAUUUGCAUUACUGAUCUGAUUUCACAGAAUUUACCCCUUUUUCAGCGUGUGUGCAUGCACUUCCCCACGCUUUCUGAGCUUCCUGCCGCUCAGCUGACAGUGCUGACUUUCCUCCCACUCAAACCACCAUAGCACGACAGCCAGCGGGCGGGGGAUGGAUCACAGCUCACACAGUUUGGGGAGCAAAAUUCGCUUUCAUCAUUCAUGAUUACUUCCCCCAAACCAUCUGAAUCCCAAUGUAUCUAAAACCCGUGUUUCUCCCUGGUCAGCACUCUGGGAGCGAUGCUUUGGGGUCAGUGUGGCCACAGACCCACAGUGGUGGCAGCUGUGGGCACCAUCCACAAUGAAGCAGGAUGCAAGUGGGGUGACAGCUUAGCCAAGGGGGGGUGGCACGGCUCUCGGUGCUGGCUGCAGUUUCAGCAGCAGCUGAAAUGGGCUGGGUGACACCCUGAUUUAUUUCAGGGCUUAUUGAGGGAACCCAUCCAUCCUGGAGCUGAGCACCCCAGCGGCUGCAGACCCCACUGCAAAUGUCCCUAUCUCCAUCCCAUUGCCCAGCACUGAGCCCUGUGCACCGGCUCAAGGUUGGCACUGCAUCCCUCCAAUAUGAACCCUCCGUAUUCUUCAGCCUGUUAUCAAUUUUCCCACAAUGCGCUCGCAUGAUCCUCUCUCAGACUUAACCACAUGGCAACCACAUCACAUAAUGCAAUUUCUGUUCUGAGAUUAUUCAUAUUUCUUUUCCUCUAUUGUUGCUUUGCCAAGUUUUUCUUCUAAUUCUGAGAAACCGAAUUUAAAAGAGCAGUGUCUCCGGCACAAGGACAGCCGAGGCGGCAGCGCCGGCGGAUCAGCCCGACAAGUGCGUUCACAGGAGUCAGAGUGGGGGGAGCUGUGAAGAAGCCAUACAAAAACCCCUCCAAAUGUCUAUUUUUAUUUUAUUUCAUUCUCUGGAAUGUCUCAUCGCAUGAAAUAACAAUACAUCCUGGAGAGGACUGCAGACAGGCUCCAGUGAGAGGGCAGAUGAGGAGAGGAUUGUUUUUGCAGUGGGUUUUCAUACGCAAUCCGUCAUGAACGCCUUUUCCCAAUGGAAGGGAUGGAGGAGGGAUGCGAGGGGAUGGGAGCACCUCCUAAUUAAUUGCCCUGGGAGCAGCCAACUGAUGGGGUUCUGCACUCAGAGCUGUUGUCCCUCAAGGUGCCGGCAGAGACAUGGGAUGCAUGGGCAGCAGUGGAGGAGUGGGGGCUCAGGCUCCCCCAGGGCUUCGGGCUUGCAGAUUGGUUUUGGUCCUCUUGCUUUUGAAUGAGGGUGUUAUUUGGCCCCAGGUUCCCCACUUUGCAUCUCUUUUCUGAUGGAGUCGGCCUACCUUCAUUUUCCCUUCAUUUCUGCAUCUUUUAAUUCUUGAGUCAUCAGCCAUGCUGGCCAGUUUAGCAUAAGAAAUGAAAUUAAUUCUCCUGCUCAGGCUCCGAAUGUAAAUUCGUUUAUUAAUAAUUUAAAUAGAUUUAUUUAUGCAGUUUGAUAUUUUUCAGGUUCAGGGAAGCGGUUCAUUUUUCUUGCGGUGAUGAUCAGCAGACACCAUCAUUAGGCUCUUCUUCCCCAUCCUCCUCUCCCAGCCCAGCCUAAGGAACAGGGGAAGGAUUGGGGCUGCUGCAUCCUGCAGGCUUUCCAUCAGCUGAUGUCAGGAAUGGGAUCUCAGAGCUCCCCCAGAAGCUCCAGGAGUUGGGUGCCUGCAUUUACUGCUGGGAUUGCAGGCAGCUGGUGGCCCAGGGUGUCUGCACAAUGCAGCCAUUGGGCUGGGAAAGUGGUUUGGUGAAUGUUGAUGUGUUAAUGGCAGCCACAGCAUUUCACUGCCAUCCAGAUAGGGGUGAGCGGCCAACCUGGCUCCAUAGGAUGCCAUGGAACAUUUUAGGCAAGAAUCACAUGGAUUUACUUAGAAUUAAAUGUCCCUGAAAUGAAACCCUCAAUCUGGAAACCCACAGGCUUUGCACCCGUCAUUCAAGCCCACCUCAUGACAGCUCUCUGCACCUGGUUUUCAUCUGUGCAGUGGGUCUGCCCAGCCCUCUGGAUCGGAAUGCCACAAAGCGCAGGGAAUGUUUGACAUUUAGAUCCAUUUCUUUGUGGCUUGGAUCCCCCUGAGAUGAAUGGAGCUUUCUAUCAAUCUGGAUUUGCUUUUCUCCCAACAUUCCCCUGCUGAACCCGUCAGGCUCGUGUGAAUCCCGCCUGGCUUCACGCUCUAUUACAGAGCUGCAAUGCUCUUUCAAAGGCUCACAGCUUUUUACCCCAAACUGCUCUGAAGCUCAUGCAAACCGGGUGGAGUCAAUGUGGUCUCGGCUCCAGGAGGAGCAUUUAUUGCAUCACUGGGUGCAGUGAAGCUGAGGUGCCCUGUGCUGGAGGUCGUUCUUCCGCCUUACACUUGCUUGUGAUGAGAUAGAAGACAUCAGACAGACAGACAGCUCUCAGACAUGCACCUCAGCCUGGCUUUCCCACCAUCCAGCUCUCCUUGCUUGCACGAGGUUUUAGCAUUUCUCUUUUAUCUCAGCCUUGUGAGCUUCAAAGCUGACGUGAAGCCCAGCUGUACCUCGCCGCAGAUGGGAGCGGAGCAGCCCGUGCCUCCCGUGUUCAUCCUGCAGAACUGGAAUUGAUUUAUUUUGGUUGCAGCAGCAAUGACUGCAGUUCCUGGCUGGAUGCAAACCAGGCUCUUCAGAGCCCUGUUAGCAUACCAGCUCUUAGGAAACCCUUCCCAAUGCCACCAUUUUUUUGCUUUUGACUACAAAAGAUCAUGCAAAUAAAAGCCGCUCUCCCUGUUUAUCUGAAUGCCUUUUUCUUUCAGAUGGGAAGCCUGGGGAAGUCUGUGAGCACUGUCCCAUCAGAAAGCAUCAGGAGACAUCUCUGAGCUGUGCCAGUGCUGGUUUAGACAUCCCGGAAUCCUGGAGUUACCAAAGUUGGAAAGGACCUCCAAGAUCAUCCAGUCCAACCUCCACCUACCACCAGUGUUUCCCCAUCCUGAGCUCCUGCUGCCAGAUUGCUCUGUGAGAAAACAGAAAGGAGAUGUUAAAAGGAUUUGAACAGCUCCUGGAGAUGUCCCAACAGAGGCUGAACACAUUUCUAGUGAUAUUUUUUAUUUAAAAAUGCAUCAAGGUUUGGGGGAAUGUGGCAAAGGCAAAGGCGGCAGGAUGGGGAUGGGGA
Coturnix japonica (Japanese quail) is the source of this 12661-nucleotide non-coding RNA. Lineage: Eukaryota; Metazoa; Chordata; Aves; Galliformes; Phasianidae. The record is from RefSeq and is a predicted model, not a curated record.